AUUUACAGCCAUGCCACCCUGAACAAGCCCGAUGUCUGAUCUCGGAAGCUAAGCAGGGUCGGGCCUGGUUAGUACUUGGGUGGGAGACCACCUAGGAAGACCAGGUGCUGUAGGCA
This 116-nucleotide ribosomal RNA is filed under the name Pteropus alecto (black flying fox). Lineage: Eukaryota; Metazoa; Chordata; Mammalia; Chiroptera; Pteropodidae. The record is from RNAcentral.